UACGGAAGGUCCGGGCGUUAUCCGGAUUUAUUGGGUUUAAAGGGAGCGCAGGCCGAUUGGUAAGCGUGACGUGAAAUGUAGCCGCUCAACGGCUGAACUGCGUCGCGAACUGCCGGUCUUGAGUAUGUUCGAUGUAGGCGGAAUUCGUGGUGUAGCGGUGAAAUGCUUAGAUAUCACGAAGAACCCCGAUUGCGAAGGCAGCCUACAAGGCCAUUACUGACGCUAAAGCUCGAAGGUGCGGGUAUCGAAC
This 250-nucleotide ribosomal RNA is filed under the name uncultured prokaryote. RNAcentral describes it as "partial 16S ribosomal RNA". It matches the Rfam family "Bacterial small subunit ribosomal RNA", at positions 524 to 773 of the family's 1533-position model. The record is from RNAcentral.